Molecule: RNA transcript, 8170 nt
Organism: Oxyura jamaicensis (ruddy duck)
Lineage: Eukaryota; Metazoa; Chordata; Aves; Anseriformes; Anatidae
Gene: NRXN3
Gene name: neurexin 3
Exons: 26
Source: RefSeq, a predicted model, not a curated record
UGGGGGCGGCGGCGGCGUGCGCGGGGCUCGGGCUGCUCCGGCACCGCGGCGCGCUCAGCCCUGCGCAGCUCCGCCCGCGGCUCGCACGGCUCGGCUCGGCUCGGCACGGCCAGCCCAGCCUCCCCGGGACCCCCUAAGCCUCCUUGGCUGGGGCCACGCUGGAGCCCCCCGCCGCGCAGCGGAGCCGAGCCGCGAGUUGGCUGCGGAGGUCCUGCAAGCUCUCUGAGUGCCAAGCAGUGCAUUAUGGGCUGGAUUGCCACCAAUUCACCAUGAAGAUUGGCUUCACUUUUGCCCUCCCAAGGAUCACGUACUUUAUGAAUUCACUUUCUCUUCCACCUCACUGCCACCUCUGUCAAUAUUGUCAUCGCUUCUAGGAAACCAGAAUCUGAGGCUGGGCUUUAUCCCGGCCUUUCCUCCCUCCCAGGAACAACCAGUGUCACCUUUGUGUUCUACCAAAACAAACCACUGGGGGUUAUUUUGCCCUUCAUGAAAGUACAUCAGCUGGAGAAGUAACUUCAUAUACACUAUACUUCUGAGAUAAAGGCCUCUGGAUCCUAAAGGAUAAUUGAGAUCUUUGCUUGAAGAGGAGAGAUUUGUUCUCAGUCACGUGCCCUUGCUAUCUCUCUUUCCACCUGCUCUCCCUCCCUCUGUCAAUCUGUGCUCUCCUUCUCUUCUGUUGGAUUUAACAGAUUCAGUGUUGACUGCUGGGGUUCUCCUCACAGUAGCGUGGCUUUUGUUUUUCUACUAGUGAAGAGCAGAUUCUUGAAACAAUGGGCUUCACUCUCCACUCCGUCUACUUCACCUUAAAGGUGAGUUUGCUGCUGGGCUCCUUGCUGGGUCUCUGUUUGGGUCUGGAGUUCAUGGGCAUCCCCAACCAGUGGGCCCGCUACCUCCGCUGGGAUGCCAGCACCAGGAGUGAACUCAGCUUCCAGUUCAAGACCAACGUCUCCGCUGGGCUGCUCCUCUACUUUGACGACGGUGGUGUCUGUGACUUCCUCUGUCUGUCCCUUGUCGAUGGGCGCAUCCAGCUGCAGUUCAGUGUGGACUGUGCAGAGACUACAGUUAUCACAGACAAGCAGGUCAACGACAGCAACUGGCACUUCCUGAUGGUCAGCCGCAAUCACCUGCGGACAGUGCUAGUGCUGGAUGGUGAAGCCAAGCCAGGCGAGGUGCGUCCCCAGCGCCAGUAUAUGAAUAUCGUCAGCGACCUUUUUGUGGGUGGGGUCCCAUUGGACAUCCGUCCUGCUGCCUUGACCCUUGAUGGCGUUCUGAGUGAGCCUCCGUUUCAAGGAUUUAUCCUGGAUCUGAAAUACGGCAACUCUGAGCCGCAGCUCCUGGGCAGUCAAGGGGUCCGACUGGAAAUGGAAGGGCUCUGCGCAGAAAACCCCUGUGAAAAUGGUGGCACUUGCUUUCUUCUGGAUGGCGAGCCACACUGUGACUGCUCAGCCACUGGGUACGCUGGCAAACUGUGUUCUGAAGAUGUCAAUCAUAUUCCAGGCCUCUCACACCUGAUGAUGGGUGAACAAGGUAGAAGUAAAGCGCGAGAUGAGAACAUGGCCACUUUCCGUGGUUCCGAAUACCUUUGCUAUGACCUGUCUCAAAACCCUAUCCAGAGCAGCAGUGAUGAGAUCACUCUCUCCUUCAAGACGUGGCAACGCAACGGGCUCAUUCUCCACACCGGCAAGUCUGCUGAUUAUGUCAACUUGGCCCUGAAAGAUGGCGCGGUCUCGCUGGUCAUUAACCUGGGGUCUGGGGCCUUCGAGGCCAUUGUGGAGCCUGUCAAUGGCAAAUUCAAUGACAACGCAUGGCACGACGUUAAGGUGACGCGCAACUUGCGGCAGCACUCAGGCAUUGGACACGCUAUGGUAAACAAACUACAUUGUCUGGUGACCAUCUCUGUGGAUGGCAUCCUUACCACCACGGGCUAUACACAGGAGGACUACACCAUGCUGGGCUCAGAUGACUUCUUCUACGUGGGAGGGAGCCCCAGUACUGCUGACUUACCUGGCUCUCCAGUAAGCAACAACUUCAUGGGUUGCCUCAAAGAGGUUGUUUAUAAGAAUAAUGAUAUUCGUCUGGAGCUGUCUCGCCUGGCACGGAUUGGUGAUACUAAGAUGAAGAUCUAUGGGGAAGUGAAGUUUGUAUGUGAGAAUGUGGCUACACUGGAUCCCAUCAGCUUUGAGACACCUGAGGCCUAUAUUAGUCUGCCCAAAUGGAAUACCAAAAGGAUGGGCUCCAUCUCGUUUGAUUUCCGAACCACUGAACCCAAUGGGCUGAUACUUUUCACCCAUGGCAAGCCUCAGGAGAGGAAAGAUGCCAGGAGCCAGAAAAAUACAAAGGUAGACUUCUUUGCAGUUGAACUUCUAGAUGGGAACCUCUACUUGUUGCUGGACAUGGGCUCUGGGACCAUUAAAGUCAAGGCCACGCAGAAGAAAGCCAAUGAUGGAGAGUGGUAUCACGUGGAUAUUCAACGAGAUGGAAGAUCAGGUACUAUAUCGGUGAACAGCAGACGCACCCCAUUCACUGCAAGUGGGGAGAGUGAGAUCCUAGAUCUGGAAGGCGACAUGUACCUGGGUGGGCUGCCAGAGAACCGGGCAGGGCUCAUCCUUCCCACAGAGCUCUGGACAGCAAUGCUGAACUAUGGCUACGUCGGCUGUAUCCGAGACCUGUUCAUCGAUGGACGAAGCAAGAACAUCCGGCAGCUGGCAGAGGCACAGAACGCAGCAGGAGUUAAGUCCUCCUGCUCCCGCCUGAGCACCAAGCAAUGCGAUAGCUACCCGUGUAAGAACAAUGCAGUCUGCAAGGAUGGCUGGAACCGCUUCAUCUGUGACUGCACUGGCACUGGCUAUUGGGGUAGAACGUGUGAGCGAGAGGCCUCUAUCUUGAGCUAUGAUGGCAGCAUGUACAUGAAGAUCAUCAUGCCUAUGGUCAUGCAUACAGAAGCAGAAGAUGUGUCCUUCCGUUUCAUGUCACAGCGUGCCUAUGGGCUGUUGAUGGCAACCACCUCACGAGAUUCUGCUGAUACUCUGCGCCUGGAGCUGGACGGAGGCCGUGUCAAACUCAUGGUCAAUUUAGACUGUAUCAGGAUAAACUGUAACGCCAGCAAGGGACCUGAAACUCUUUAUGCUGGGCAGAAACUCAAUGACAACGAGUGGCACACUGUUCGAGUUGUUCGGCGUGGAAAGAGCCUCAAGCUGAUGGUGGAUGACGAUGUUGCUGAGGGCACAAUGGUUGGUGAUCACACCCGUUUGGAGUUCCACAACAUUGAGACAGGGAUCAUGACGGAGAAACGUUAUAUCUCUGUCAUCCCUUCUAGCUUCAUCGGCCAUCUCCAAAGCCUCAUGUUCAAUGGGAUGCUCUACAUUGACCUCUGCAAGAAUGGUGACAUUGACUAUUGUGAGCUAAAGGCACGCUUUGGUCUCCGCAACAUUAUAGCUGACCCUGUGACAUUCAAGACUAAGAGCAGCUACCUGAGCUUGGCCACCUUGCAGGCUUACACAUCCAUGCACCUCUUCUUUCAGUUCAAGACCACUUCAGCUGAUGGUUUCAUCCUCUUUAACAGUGGUGAUGGAAAUGACUUCAUUGCAGUUGAACUAGUCAAGGGGUAUAUACAUUAUGUCUUUGACCUUGGAAAUGGACCUAACGUUAUCAAAGGCAACAGUGACCGUGCUCUCAAUGACAACCAAUGGCACAAUGUUGUCAUCACCAGAGAUAACAGUAAUACACACAGCCUAAAAGUGGACACUAAGGUGGUCACUCAGGUUAUCAACGGUGCCAAAAAUCUGGAUCUUAAAGGUGAUCUCUACAUUGCUGGCCUAGCUCAAGGCAUGUAUAGCAACCUCCCAAAGCUAGUGGCCUCACGUGAUGGAUUUCAGGGCUGUCUAGCAUCUGUGGACUUGAAUGGGCGUCUGCCUGAUCUAAUCAAUGACGCUUUGCACCGCAGUGGGCAGAUUGAGCGUGGAUGUGAAGUUGAGUUGACCAAAGCUGACCUGCAAGGACCAAGUACUACCUGCCAGGAAGAUUCCUGUGCAAAUCAGGGCAUCUGUAAUCAGCAGUGGGAAGGUUUUACCUGUGAUUGCUCCAUGACUUCGUAUUCUGGAAGCCAGUGCAACGACCCUGGUGCCACAUAUAUAUUUGGGAAGAGUGGAGGUCUCAUCUUGUAUACCUGGCCAGCUAAUGACAGACCAAGCACAAGGACAGACCGUCUUGCUGUGGGCUUCAGCACAACAGUGAAGGAUGGCAUUCUUGUGAGGAUUGACAGUGCCCCUGGGCUCGGUGACUUUCUGCAACUGCACAUAGAGCAAGGCAAGAUCGGUGUGGUCUUCAAUAUUGGUACAGUGGACAUCUCUAUUAAAGAGGAAAGCACACCUGUAAAUGAUGGCAAAUACCAUGUGGUGCGCUUUACCAGGAACGGGGGCAAUGCCACUCUUCAGGUUGACAGCUGGCCAGUGAAUGAACACUACCCAACAGGCAACACUGAUAGUGAACGGUUCCAAAUGGUAAAACAGAAAAUCCCCUUCAAAUAUAACCGGCCCGUAGAGGAGUGGCUGCAGGAAAAAGAUGAUGCAACACCGCAUCACCACUUGACUUCGAGACCUGCCACGACGACCACCAAAAUUGGACGACAGUUAACGAUCUUCAACACCCAGGCGCAAAUAGCCAUAGGAGGGAAGGACAGAGGGCGUCUCUUCCAAGGCCAGCUCUCCGGUCUCUAUUACAAUGGCUUGAAAGUACUGAACAUGGCAGCAGAGAACAACCCCAACAUUAAAAUCAAUGGAAGUGUCCGACUAGUUGGGGAAGUCCCUUCCAUCUUGGGAACAACACCCACAACCUCCGUACCACCAGAAAUGUCUACUACAGUCAUGGAAACCACAACUACAAUGGCCACCACUACAACCCGAAAAAAUCGUUCACCACCCAGCAUCCAGACAACAGAUGACAUUGUUUCAUCAGCUGAAUGUUCCAGCGAUGAUGAAGACUUCAUUGACUGUGAACCCAGUACAGGUAAGUCAGGAGGUGAAUUAGUUAUCCCUCUACUUGUAGAAGACCCUUUAGAUAUCCCUCCUAUUGCUACUCGUGCACCUUUCAUUACACUUCCCCCUACCUUUCGCCCCCUCCUCACCAUUAUUGAGACCACCAAAGAUUCCCUGUCCAUGACCUCUGAGGCGGGGUUACCUUGCUUGUCGGACCAAGGCAGCGAUGGUUGUGAUGAUGAUGGCUUGGUGAUAUCUGGGUAUGGCUCAGGGGAAACCUUUGACUCUAACCUACCCCCUACUGAUGAUGAAGAUUUUUACACCACCUUCUCCUUGGUAACAGAUAAGAGUCUUUCCACUUCAAUCUUCGAAGGUGGCUACAAAGCACACGCACCCAAGUGGGAAUCCAAGGACUUUAGACCUAACAAAGUCUCCGAAACUGGUAGGACUACUACCACGUCUUUGUCCCCUGAGCUGAUCCGCUCCACAGCUUCGUCCUCGACUGGGAUGGUGCCCAAAUUGCCAGCCGGCAAAAUGAAUAACCGUGAGCUCAAACCCCAGCCUGACAUAGUCUUGCUUCCGUUGCCCACUGCCUAUGAGCUAGACAGCACAAAGCUGAAGAGCCCGCUAAUCACUUCCCCCAUGUUCCGUAAUGUGCCCACAGCAAACCCCACGGAGCCGGGAAUCAGACGGGUUCCGGGGGCCUCAGAGGUGGUCCGUGAGUCGAGCAGCACAACGGGGAUGGUCGUCGGCAUUGUGGCUGCUGCUGCCCUCUGCAUCCUCAUCCUCCUGUACGCCAUGUACAAGUACAGGAACAGGGACGAGGGGUCCUAUCAGGUGGACGAGACGCGGAACUACAUCAGCAACUCAGCCCAGAGCAACGGCACGCUCGUGAAGGAGAAGCAACAGAGUUCAAAGAGCGGCCACAAGAAACAGAAAAACAAGGACAAAGAGUAUUAUGUGUAAAAAAGAAUACUUAUUUAUAUAUAAAUAUAUAAAUACUUAAUGAGAUUUAACUGAAAUAUCAGAACCAUUGCAGCGAACGAGAUUGGGAGAUAUCGUUUGUGGGAAAAAAGUAUUGGGAAAAAAAAAAUCAGCAGUGACUGUUAAUGUCUCAGUCAUCACUUGGAGUCAGCAAACUCUGCCCUAAUGUAUUAUAAAGCACACUUAGCGUUCUGGAGAUGGCGCAUACAGCUCUGCCCUGUUAGUGAACUCGGACGUCUCCAAAUCUCCUCCUCCGCUGAACUUCCUGCAAAGGUAGAAGACUUCAUGGCUUACUUGUUUCAUAUCUCCAAAAUCCGUCGUCUUGCAGUAAGUUGCUAACAACGCAGUGAAGUGUGUGAUGGGUGGUGAUGAAGAAAAUUGUCAUGGAAAGCUGGUCCCCUUGGAUCUGGCUCCAGUAUUUGCAAUUGAACUGAAGAAUAGAUGGUUUGGGGUCUGUUCUGAUCAGAAUCAUUGGCUUUAUUUGGGAAUAUCACUUAGUAUGCAUUAGCACAGCCAAACUAUGGUUAAAGGGAUUUGAAGAUUCAAAAAAGAAUGCUUAAAAAUGGUUAGCCAUUCUCAGCUGAAUAUACCAUGCAAAAAUAAAGGAGCCUUCCUCCAUGUUCUGGUUCUGUGACUGAUUGCAGUGCAUGCAAAAACAACAAUAAUAAAUCAGUUUAAUAAAGAUAUCAGAAAGACACAACUGGAGUUCAACUUGUGACAAGACACAUAAAAUGUCAGAAAAGCUAAACACUUGUAAAAGAAUGCAAAAAUGCAUAGUGCUUUUUUUGACAUGAAACUGUUUUUCAUAUGUAAUAUUUUAAUUUUGUAGCUUGACACUUCAGAUCAUCUCUGUCUUUCCAUUUGCCCUUUUCUCCCUUUUCCUUCUCUUUUAUAUAAAAGAAAAUAAAGCUGCUGUGACACACAAAAUAAUAAAGAAAAAGGAAUUUAAUAAUAUUAUAUAUAUAUAUACACACAGAUAUAUUUAUCAUGGUAUGUUUGAUGGGACGACUGGAACAGAAGUUCUGUUAUGGUCUUAAUGUGGAAUGAGAAUGUUCUUGAAGAACAAAGUAAAAAGAAACAGACAACAGAAGCAAACAAAAUGUGAAGAGAGUGUGUGUUUUAGCUUUGUCACAGUUAUCUGUGUCAAAAAAGAAAAAAAUCUGAAAUUUUGUUUACAUAUUUUACUACUAUUUUUUUUUGCAAGUAUAAUUUCUAUAUGGAUACUCUGAAGGUGUAUAUACUGUUUUAUGGUUAAAUUAGGAACAUCUUUUGUUUUUAUUUAUGUGAUUUAACUUGGUUGGUUGGUUUCCACAUUUUCCCAGUUACUGUGAAAAGGAUUAUCUUAUUGUACAGAACAAUAGCCAGGUGGUUUGAUGGCUAUGCCUGUCAUGUGCAAAAAAAAAAAAAAAAGGAAAUAAGGGAGAGAGAGACAGAGAGGAGAACAACAAAAGCCAAGAUGGAUUGAGAACUCUGGAAUAUCAGAAAUGUACACUUUUUCUGUAUACAGAUGAAAACUAAUCAGCUGUUUAGGUUUAGAAAUCUACUCUUGCUGGUGUUUAUAAGUCGCAUGAAUAUUUGACUUUGAAGAAGUGUCAUCAAAUACACACACGCACAUGGGAACUUAAAUUAAAAAAGAAAAACAGCCUUCUCAAACAUUUAGAGAAGACGCUUUCAUGUUAACAAAUAUUUUCAGUGUGUGUAUGUGUGUGUGUGUGGUGCGUGUGCGAGAGAUUGAGCUUUUUUUUCCUUUUUUAUUUUUUAUACUAAAAAGAAAAAAAAAAGACAGGUUUUAAAAAGGUAUGAAAGCACGAUUUUAGAUGACUUAACUGGCCGAAACUAUAUAAAGUUGAUUAUAUCUUGAUGUCUGUAAAAGAUUGCUGUUCUUGGAGUCUUGGAGUCUUGUGAAAUGAUUUCCUGCUUCCUUUCUUCCUUUCCUUUUUGCUUUACUUUUUAAGUUAAGGGGAAAAAAAAAUUACACUUUCCUUUUUUUGUGUAAGUUUCUAUUGGACAGUUUUUGGGAACAUGUGCAUUUCUGUAUGUGGGCUUCUACCAUAUCCCUGUUGCUUUAUGGACAACCGUAAGAAUUUUUGAGUUAUCGUGAUGUUAUUGCUUUUUUUUUUGCCCUUCUUUUUCUUCUUCCUUUUUGAUUCUUUUUCUUUUCUUAUUUGCAUUUUGUUUAAAGAUAUGCUUAGCAAUAAAAUGUUCUUCCCAAA